Molecule: long non-coding RNA, 1056 nt
Filed under: Heterocephalus glaber (naked mole-rat)
Lineage: Eukaryota; Metazoa; Chordata; Mammalia; Rodentia; Bathyergidae
Description: lncRNA (ENSHGLG00100051491.1)
Source: RNAcentral
UGGGGCUCUACCGUAUGAAUCAUAGAGCUGUCUAAGAUUUGGGUUUUGAAAGGCUCGCCGAAGAAGGGGCACACACGGACGUUCCAGCAAGCUUUAUUGGGGCGGCAGUCUGCAGCCUGCGGGGCUGACUCACAGAAUGGAGACCAGCAGCUUCAUGGGCUCAGCUGGAAGCUUAUGCAGGUGUCUUGCAGGAGACAUCUGGAAUUAAUGGACCCAUCAUUAUCCUGAGAGUUCUUUGUCUUCUUCAUAUUCAUGUUGACGUCGAACCACAAGCCAAGUAAAGAAUGAUAGUUUGAAGACAUCUGGAGUCACAUGCCUCUUGGGCUGCAGAAAUAAUGGAACCACUUAUGAGAUCUAUUGCAUCCUGGAUGGAGGAGACAUGUACAAGGUUCAGGUCAGCUGUGAGGCCUCAGUGGCCUUUGAGGACUGGCAUUUGAAGAUUUUCAAAUAAAAAAAGAACAUACAAAACAUCAUGAGGUGCCCUUAGACUGUAGCAGCUGUUUCUCUCUUUACAGUAAAGACAAGAGAGCAGACAAAGCAGUCUUUGCAGAAAGGACCAAAACAUUUUAUCAGAUCUUGAAUGUCCCUCAAAGGCUGAUAAGUUAAAGGCUUGGACACCUGCCUGUGCGCGAGAGAGGUGGUGGAAACUUCAGAACUGGCACUCAGUGGGAGAGAGUGUGUGAUAAACUUGGGAGAUCAUACACUGCAGUCGUGCCACUGGGGAAAAGACAGAGGAAAGGGGAAAGGGACAAGGAGGAAGAGAAGAAAAGGAGGAGGAAGAGAAGAAAAGGAGGAGAAAGAGCAGGAGGGAAAGAAGGCCCUGCCCCAUCGCUAAUGGAUGGUCCUAAGAGCCACACACACGACACCAUGAAGUCCUCACUGGCCACUGGAUGAAGGAAGACUGGCAGAGAAAGAGUUAGCACAACUGCUUGAUUGUUAGCCAGGAGAAAGCUGCCUCUUAUCUGUUCACUGGACUCUGAAAGAACAUAGGGCAAAGAAGACAGAGGGGCUGGAGGAAGAAGAAUCUUCAUUUAAAUCCGGGCUCCGUUCUUGAGA